Zonotrichia leucophrys gambelii is the source of this 1029-nucleotide long non-coding RNA. RefSeq lists it as uncharacterized. The transcript is spliced from 3 exons. The record is from RefSeq and is a predicted model, not a curated record. NCBI's taxonomy places the organism in Eukaryota, Metazoa, Chordata, Aves, Passeriformes, Passerellidae.
UGGGAUCUGCCGGGGCCGCGGCCCUCCGAGAGCGGUGUUGUUUCUAAUUAAUGCCUGUGUGGUAGCCUAAUCUGUGUUACCGGGCUCUCUGGAGUAUUGUCGCAACAAAGCCAAAUUGAAAGAAGAUGAUACAGAAGCUGGAUUCAGAAUGGGUGAAUAAAUCUAGCCAUAGAGCUACAGAUUAGCUCUGGAGUUUCACACUGCAUUGCAAAGCAUGCACUGCAGCUCUGACAGAACAUCCUUCCUGCAGCCCCCUCAGACCUUGGAAGUGCUGUGAGGUCUCCACACAGAAGAACCUUCCCUUGUCUGGGCUGAACAGCCCAGCUUCCUCAGCUUGUCUUCACAGGGACAGGCCCCAGCCCUCUGGACUUGCUCAACAUUUCCAUGUCCUUGUGCUGGGACACCAGAACUGGAUGGAGCCCCAGCCCUCUGGACUUGCUGCAGCAGUUCCAUGUCCUUGUGCUGGGACACCAGAAGUGGGUGCAGCACUGCCAGUGGGUGUCACAAGAGCAGAGCAGUGGGGCAGAAUCACCUCCUUUGACCUUCUGGCCAUGCAGCUCAGGAUUCCCUUGGGCUGUGAGCACUCACUGCUGGCUCCUGCUGAGUUUUUGAUCAACCAUCACCCCCAAGACAAUAAUUUUGUGAAGAUGCUGAUGUUCUCAGGGACAACCUGCUUGCCUUUCCAUGACUUGCAGAUCCUGAUUCUCUUAAAGAUUUGAUGACUCUUGAUGUGGGCAAAAGCAAGCAAAAAAAUCCCUGAUGGUAUUGAACAGUGCAGUUAGCAGAACAGCCUUGUAGAGUUGUGGGACUUCUCAUUGUCUCCUUUCUUGAAAAACACAAUAUUGGUGUGUACAAGGCUGUAGUUAACUAUGUUUGUUGGAUAAAUUUAGUUGUCACAAGCUGCAUUUCAUCCUUUGCAGAGCAACAGUGAAAGCAGUAAUUUUAGGACCAAAGCUCACUGGCUCACUCUAAUUUUAGUAGAGCUGUUACAAUUAAAAUUUAGGAAGCCUUUAAUAAGAAUUAAUUUGG